UCAGGAUUUAAAUGAAAUCUAUGCCAUGCCAAAGUGAUAGGUCCUCUCAUUGAUAUACACUCCAACACUCACGUGUUUAGGGCUUAUGUGUUUAAAUCUCUCAAAUUCAAUCAAUGAAUAUAAUCUACCAUAAGCUUGCUCUUCAAUCUUAUCUCCAUUACUAACAUAUUACAAGCAAUGCAUGAAUCAAAAGGUCUUAUUUUUCGGUUGUAAUGGGGCUAGGGGUAAGGUGAGGUAAAAGAAAGUAAAAGGAAGGGUUCAAACCAAAGAAAGUAGAGCAUUCUGAAAAAUGAUAUUUCAAACAAGAUAUUCCAUCAAAACACAUAAAUUUUCCAUCUUUAAGCACCAAUGCUUAACUUCUUUUGAUUUCAAGCUCUUUCAACAUAAAACCUUAAGAACAUAAAGGAAUACUUUGUUUUUUUUUGUUGUUUUUUUUUUUUUUUUUUUUUUCUCCUUUGGCAACUUUGCCCAUCUUUUCAUCAAGCAUCACUUCUUCUUUCUUUUCACAUUAUUUCCAACCAUAAUUCCAUGAGAUAUCACAAGUAUAUGCUCUACUAAUCCUUGGCCAGGGGAAAAGGAAAACAUAUAAAAAGUUAAGGCUUAUACAUGGAUAAAGCAAAGAAAAGAUAAACAAGCUCAAAAGAGGCUUACUAAGGACAAUUUGCUUUAGGUUGGCUUUUUGGCUCAAGUGGUUAAAAUUUCUAAUGCCUUUAUCAUCUUCAUGUAUAUAUGUAAUGCGAAUGUAAUCUCAACAAGAUAUGAAGCAAGUUCUAGAGAUACAUAUCAUUGAAAGAAUGCACAAUAAAAAAAAAAAAUAAUGUUGAAGGCUCAAAAGCUUGCAUUGGUAUAACACUAUAAAGUCAACAUGGCAUAUUCUCAAAGUCAAUCCUUAAAGCAAUUAAAUGUUUAAAAUUUUCAUGCACACUCAUUCAUUUGAUUUAUAUCUUCA
This 949-nucleotide long non-coding RNA is filed under the name Populus trichocarpa (black cottonwood). RNAcentral describes it as "long non-coding RNA (PTRI_LNC004685)". Lineage: Eukaryota; Viridiplantae; Streptophyta; Magnoliopsida; Malpighiales; Salicaceae. The record is from RNAcentral.